CUCCGGGAACCGGGGCUAAUACCGGAUGCUUGAUUGAACCGCAUGGUUCAAUCAUAAAAGGUGGCUUUUAGCUACCACUUACAGAUGGACCCGCGGCGCAUUAGCUAGUUGGUGAGGUAACGGCUCACCAAGGCGACGAUGCGUAGCCGACCUGAGAGGGUGAUCGGCCACACUGGGACUGAAACACGGCCCAGACUCCUACGGGAGGCAGCAGUAGGGAAUCUUCCGCAAUGGACGAAAGUCUGACGGAACAACGCCGCGUGAGUGAUGAAGGUUUUCGGAUCGUAAAACUCUGUUGUUAGGGAAGAACAAGUACCGUUCGAAUAGGGCGGUACCUUGACGGUACCUAACCAGAAAGCCACGGCUAACUACGUGCCAGCAGCCGCGGUAAUACGUAGGUGGCAAGCGUUGUCCGGAAUUAUUGGGCGUAAAGCGCGCGCAGGCGGUUUCUUAAGUCUGAUGUGAAAGCCCCCGGCUCAACCGGGGAGGGUCAUUGGAAACUGGGGAACUUGAGUGCAGAAGAAGAGAGUGGAAUUCCACGUGUAGCGGUGAAAUGCGUAGAGAUGUGGAGGAACACCAGUGGCGAAGGCGACUCUCUGGUCUGUAACUGACGCUGAGGCGCGAAAGCGUGGGGAGCGAACAGGAUUAGAUACCCUGGUAGUCCACGCCGUAAACGAUGAGUGCUAAGUGUUAGAGGGUUUCCGCCCUUUAGUGCUGCAGCAAACGCAUUAAGCACUCCGCCUGGGGAGUACGGUCGCAAGACUGAAACUCAAAGGAAUUGACGGGGGCCCGCACAAGCGGUGGAGCAUGUGGUUUAAUUCGAAGCAACGCGAAGAACCUUACCAGGUCUUGACAUCCUCUGACAACCCUAGAGAUAGGGCUUCCCCUUCGGGGGCAGAGUGACAGGUGGUGCAUGGUUGUCGUCAGCUCGUGUCGUGAGAUGUUGGGUUAAGUCCCGCAACGAGCGCAACCCUUGAUCUUAGUUGCCAGCAUUCAGUUGGGCACUCUAAGGUGACUGCCGGUGACAAACCGGAGGAAGGUGGGGAUGACGUCAAAUCAUCAUGCCCCUUAUGACCUGGGCUACACACGUGCUACAAUGGGCAGAACAAAGGGCAGCGAAGCCGCGAGGCUAAGCCAAUCCCACAAAUCUGUUCUCAGUUCGGAUCGCAGUCU
Molecule: ribosomal RNA, 1173 nt
Filed under: Bacillus licheniformis
Lineage: Bacteria; Bacillati; Bacillota; Bacilli; Caryophanales; Bacillaceae
Description: bacterial SSU rRNA
Rfam family: Bacterial small subunit ribosomal RNA
Source: RNAcentral